Molecule: ribosomal RNA, 445 nt
Filed under: uncultured bacterium
Lineage: Bacteria
Description: bacterial SSU rRNA
Rfam family: Bacterial small subunit ribosomal RNA
Source: RNAcentral
GAUGAACGCUAGCUACAGGCUUAACACAUGCAAGUCGAGGGGCAGCAUGAACUUAGCUUGCUAAGUUUGAUGGCGACCGGCGCACGGGUGAGUAACACGUAUCCAACCUUCCGUUUACUCAGGGAUAGCCUUUCGAAAGAAAGAUUAAUACCUGAUAGUAUGGUGAGAUUGCAUGAUAACACCAUUAAAGAUUUAUUGGUAAACGAUGGGGAUGCGUUCCAUUAGGUAGUAGGCGGGGUAACGGCCCACCUAGCCUGCGAUGGAUAGGGGUUCUGAGAGGAAGGUCCCCCACACUGGGACUGAGACACGGCCCAGACUCCUACGGGAGGCAGCAGUGAGGAAUAUUGGUCAAUGGGGCGGAAGCCUGAACCAGCCAUGCCGCGUGAAGGACUAAGGCCCUACGGGUCGUAAACUUCUUAGACGCAGAGCAAUAAGGUCCACGCGU